RNAcentral lists this ribosomal RNA (274 nucleotides) under uncultured microorganism. Its description in RNAcentral is "partial 16S ribosomal RNA". It matches the Rfam family "Bacterial small subunit ribosomal RNA", at positions 9 to 257 of the family's 1533-position model. The record is from RNAcentral.
GAGUUUGAUCUUGGCUCAGGACGAACGCUGGCGGUAUGCCUAAUACAUGCAAGUCGAGCGCAGGAAGCAGACUGAAGCCUUCGGGUGGAUGUCUGUGGAAUGAGCGGCGGAUGGGUGAGUAUCACGUGGGUAACCUGCCUGUAAGCUUGGGGAUAACUCCCGGGAAACCGGUGCUAAAUACCAGAUAAGAUUUCCGUUCGCAUGAGCGGAAAAUGAAAGGCGGCUUUGCUGUCACUUACAGAUGGACCCGCGUCGCAUUAGCUAGUUGGUGGGU